AAAAAAAAACUCACUAAAAGAAAUGGAAAAAAAAAAA
Molecule: ribosomal RNA, 37 nt
Filed under: Megalophaedusa albela
Lineage: Eukaryota; Metazoa; Mollusca; Gastropoda; Stylommatophora; Clausiliidae
Description: partial 5.8S rRNA
Source: RNAcentral